UACGUAGGUGGCAAGCGUUGUCCGGAAUCAUUGGGCGUAAAGAGCGCGUAGGCGGCCCUGUAAGUCCGCUGUGAAAGUCAAGGGCUCAACCCUUGGAUGCCGGUGGAUACUGCAGGGCUAGAGUCCGGAAGGGGCGAGUGGAAUUCCUGGUGUAGCGGUGAAAUGCGCAGAUAUCAGGAGGAACACCGAUGGCGAAGGCAGCUCGCUGGGACGGUACUGACGCUGAGGCGCGAAAGCGUGGGGAGCAAACAGG
This 253-nucleotide ribosomal RNA is filed under the name uncultured bacterium. Its description in RNAcentral is "partial 16S ribosomal RNA". It matches the Rfam family "Bacterial small subunit ribosomal RNA", at positions 524 to 776 of the family's 1533-position model. The record is from RNAcentral.